UCCAUCCAUUUUGUUGCGAAACGAGAUGAUCACGGGACCAUCUUGCUUUAUUCAUAUUGAUCUCAUAUAUAAAUCACGGCACACAGAAGUAUAUAUAUGACAAAAGAAAGAAUGUCUACCAAGACCAACCGAUCAAAACCUAGCAAGACUCAUCAAACUACCACCGAUCUAAACCGUAUGUAUAGAAACCAGUCACCCAGGAGUAGUCGAGGACAAAACGCAACCAUCUCUACUGCAGGAGAGUCGCCGCGAGCAGUGACACAAGCGCGGAGGCCACCACGGCCACGGCGGAGACCGGGGCGAGACCGGCGGCCGCUCCGGCGUCUGGCGCGGGCGCGGGCGCCGACGAAGGCGCCAUGAUGCCCUGCGCCGAUGCGGAGGCGAAGAAAACGGAGGCCACGGCCAUGGCGACGAGCAGCACGGCGGCGCGGGGAGCCAUCACACCCUUCUUUCCUGGGCUGAGAAACGCUAGGGAGCUCUGUACGAGACCUGGCGGCGUCGAGGAGAUUGGUGUGGGAGGAGGAGGCGGCGUGGUGGAUGGAUGCUUAGGGAUGGAGGAUGGUGGGGGUUUAUAAUGGAGGCGGCGUGGCCCGUGGGUUUUGCGGUGCACGCAAACGCGUUUCGGUCGCGGGGCGUGGGAACGCGAGGUGGCCUGUGGGGUUGGGGGCCUUCCGCGUGACCGCCGUCUGUUGGGCUGGGGGGUGGGUUGGCAUGACGCGGUGCCGUUGGCCCGACUCCACCGACGGACGCGUCUUGGUGGAAGCUAAGAAUUAGGUUCGUGGCUAACCCGAACGCCAAAUGUGGUGCCUUGAGCUAGCCGGGCAGCACCGACUUCGGAUCGUGGCUAACGGAAUGCCAAAUGCGCCUUGUCCUCGUGCUUAGUUGCACCUUGCACGCCACCGGCUUUCUUUCUUUCUUAUUUUUCUUUUUUAACACAAUACAGACCGUAGCGUUCAUGUACUCACGUAUAUUACUCGUUCAUGAACGCACAUGUAUAUUCUAUCUUUACGAACAACUUUGAUAGACUGAGCUAACAUAUCAUCUUAAAAUUUACGAAGUCGUCGUAGACGCCUCGUCGUCGACGUAAACGCCUCUUUCAACUGAAUGCGCAUCUUCGAAAAUCUGAAAAUAAAUUUAAAAAUAAAUGCGAGCACCAGUAUUUGAAUCUUGAUGGACUGAGAUAUUACACUCCCUCUAACCAUCCAACUAGAGGUUAGCUUGCACUUCUCUUUUUUUCAACUCGUUUUCUGCAACAACAACAACAAUGACAACAAAAAAGUCCCAUGGUAAACAUCCAGAUAAUUCAAAGACGACGGCAACAGAUUGUAAAUAGAACAUGAAUAAUGUGAUGAUAAAUGCAACGAAUAAAUAAUUCUGCAACUAUAAUACAUGAGUAAAUAUAUUGUGGAAAAAAAUCUAAAGAACCGGUCUAGGACUGUUACAACACUCCUCAUUUACAAGUUAAUUUACUACCUUGAUCUCAUGGCUGGGCAAAUAGUUACCUCCAUACAUAGGUGGUGGGUCGAACCGUCGAAGUCUCAACCUGGCCCGACAUCCCCCGGGAGGACACUGCUUCUACUCUUCUUUUUGAUAUAGCUCAACAUUCAUGCCACGUGUGGUAUCACCGUCUAUAUUAUGUUGUUGUGGCAACGUGUCUCAUAUACCCUCCCUCAUCUUCUCCAAUAUUAAGAAUGAGGCGGCGCUUUGUGUUGAGGCCAGAGGGCAUGACAGUUAGAGCAUCUUCAAUAACAGCCCUACAAUAGGGCAUGAGCCGUUUCUAGGGCACGAGAGCAUCUAUAGCUGGACGACUCAAAAGACUCAUUAUAUGUCUACGGACGUGCCUCGUCAGUGGCCCGACAAAAAAUAGAAGAAAAAAAAGUAACCUAACUCGAUCCUUGAUAUUCAUCUCAUAUAUAAGUAGGAUAUAAGGGCUCGAGGUCGCGUCCGUGCGCAUCUAUCAGUCCGCUGCGUAGGACGCGGUCUCACCCCGAACCAUCUUUUCCUUUUCUUUAUUCAUUCAUUCUUUCUUUCUCUUCCUCUCCACCCAUCACAUGCAAGUGACCGGACAUAUGAGGAAGGAAAUGAGAAAUGUGGUUGUACGGACAGAAAAAUAGGAGACACGUCCGGUCACUGACCGGACGCGUCUGCGGACGUUUAGAAGGGUCAUAUUUGCUAUGUCCAGUUGUAAAUGCUGUGAGGGGACAAAAAAGACGUCCAACGGCUACCCAAUCCUAGUAUUUUGUAAAAAAAAAAAUUAAACAACCCUAGAAAAAGGCUUAUUGUGAGGCAAAUUUAGGGCAUUGUGGCUGAAAACCCUUGGAUCCAUCUAUCAGCCAACUAGUACAUGUCAUGGCUAGCGCCUUCGACCCUGCCGUCGAUCCUGAUAUGCUCACCACCAUUGCCGCCCUAUUUUAGGGCGGCUGUUGGAACGGUUGUGCCCUAUUCCGUGUACAAAAAGGCAUAAAAAUGUCUUUUGGACAUGUAAUAGGGCUGCUAUUUAAGAUGGCACUUUCUCGUGUCCAAAACUUUUUAUUUUCAAGGAUACGUCAAGAUAGACGUAUCGGGAUCAUAGAAAGAAGAAGCCAAGAAGGCAGAUUAUGGUACAACUCAUCCACGGCUCAAAGAGCCACAUACCUCAUGCGGACUACUCGCUAUCCUCUACCGUUCCUGCCCUAAUUGGCAAAGAUCUAGGAUCUCGCAACAGUUUUGCCGCCCUCCAAUCUUGGGCCUCAAUGUCGAUUUGCCUCUGCAUCGUUGCCGCGUCCGGGGAAGCUCCGUUGAAGACAAUCUUGUUUCUGUGGCGCCACAAGGUCCAAACAACCAGAGAGAUUACCGUCCAAAUCUCCUUGCUGAUUCUAUGGAAAGUAAUGGAGAGGUCGGCCAACUAGCCAGCUGCGAGUCCUGGUUCGGCAACCAAUUGGGCUUGCCCUAAUUCCUGACUAUGUCUUUCCAUACCUGUCUGGCGAGCCCGUAACCGAGGGUGAUGUGAUCAAUAGUUUCCGCAGCCUUGUGACAGAAGGGGCACACCACUAGACGCGGUAGUUGGCGACACUCAAGUCUAUCAACCACUUCACCCAUUUUCCAUGCCUUAUUAUACGGAUGUUGGAGAUGCUCUUAGGGGUUGAAGUAAGUGAGAGUGAUCCCUUGUACAGGUUGUGGCCUCCUAUUUUUGCAAUGGAAUUACAGAAAAGAUGUACAAAUUAAUCUCAGUUUCGUAACAAACUUCUUGUACUUGAUCGGCUGGGGCUGAUUUUGUUGCAGCCGAAAGGGUCGGGCCACCGUCGGAUCCGAUCCGACGGCCCCGAUUGCCCCGAUCGAAACCCUAGCAGGCGGCUGGGCCAUGAGGCGGACUGGGCCGGCUGGGCCUGCAAGGGAGCAGGCUCCGGUACUGGGUCACCGGGCAGUUUUCGGCCCAGAGAGCUUCAGACAUUAAAAGUUUUUAAUACAGUUUUUUCUAUGCAUUUUUCUCCAACAAAAAUGUGCUUAGAAAAUAGAAAAGAAAAAGGAGUGUCUCUGCAAAAUAAAAUAUAAAUUUUUCUGCAAAGAAAAAUAAAAGUUUCUGAAAAUAAAAUAGAGAUUUUUUGAGAAAAAGAAAAGUUCAUGGAUUUUAUAAAAGGAUAAUAAAGUUCAUGAAUUUUUAUUUUUAACAGAAUAUUUUUUUCUGUAAAGUAGAAAAAGUACAUGAAUUUUAUAUUCACGUUUUCCACUGCAAAGUAAUUUAAUAGUGCUAUUUUACGAAGUAAAUAAAAAUUUAGAGAGAAUAACAUUUAAGAGCAUAUUAAAGUGAUUAUUAAAAUAAAUAUGGUUAUGUUAUUUUUCUGACCAGCAUUGUUAAUAACAUGAUCAUGUUGCACUAUUGGCAUUAAGAUGCAUUUAUUUCUAUUAUUUGCCCAACGGUAAUAUAGAUUUAUUUGCAUAGAGAAUUGUAUGUUUAAUUUGACCAACGUUAGAUUAAUGCAUAUGAUUGUUAUACUGAUCUCUCUUAAAUUGUGAUUUCAUGAGGCUUCCACCUGAUGAGUUGCCUAAAAGAUGUUCCGACACUCAAAGGUGAUAAGUACUUUGAGUGGAGGAAGAAAGUAGAAAUGGCUUUUGUCUCUGCUGAGGUGGACUGGCUUCUGGAGGAACCACAACCCGUUAAACAUCCACAGCCAGUGAGAGAUGCAAAAGACACUAAUGUUGUAUGGGAGAAAAAGCAAAGGGAUUAUGCUCCAGUGGAGAUGUCCUACUCCCUUAACAACCAAAAGUGGAUAAAUGCCAACAAAAAGUGUCUGGCAUUUAUAAAUAAUACAAUUGAGAACGCCAUUGUGGGCUUAAUUACAGAGUGCACUUCCGUAGGGGAGAUGCUCACAAAGAUAAAGAGCCAGUUCACUGGCUCUUCAAAGACAUAUGCCAUCCAGUUGAUAAAACAACUGGUUACAGAGAACUACACUGGAGGUGGCCAUGGCAUUAGAGAGCACAUCCUUCAGAUGAGCAACAAGGCAGCAAAGCUCAAGCCAAUGGACGCGGAUCUGGAAAUCAAACCAGCACUCCUCAUCCACUUGGUCAUGGCUUCACUGCCAAAGGAGUUCGAAACUUUUGUUGUGAACUAUAACAUGUCCCCUGAAACAUGGAACAUUGAAAAUACAAUAGCAAUGUGUGUCCAAGAAGAGGACAAACUGAAAGCCUCACAUGGUGGUUCAAUCAACUAUGCGAAGGACAAUAAGAAAAAUAAUUUCAGUCAAAACAGCAAAGGUUCUCCUUCAAAGCCACAUGGUAAAGGCCCCUCACAUUUUCAGCAUCAGCAAAAGCCUCUUCUAGUGGACAGGGACACUUGUCUCCACUUCAAGAAGACAGGGCACUACAAAAAGGAUUGCCCUGACUAGCUAAAGACCAUCAUGGCAAAGAGAGGUAACGACAUCGUUUCCUUUGUUAAUGAAUCCAUGUAUUCACAGUUUUCGAAAUCUACUUCGUGGAUUGACUCGGGUGCAACUGUUCAUGUUGCAAACUCUUCACAAGGAUUCCGUUCGACGAGGAUUUUGCAAAGAAGAGAAAGAAGUAUUGAAGUCGCAAAUGGCGUCCAAGCAGAAGUUGAAGCUGUCGGCGACAUCUCCUUGGAGUUGGCUGAAGGAUUCAACCUUUUGCUUAGAAACGUCCUAUUUGUCCCUUCAUGUAAUAGAAAUUUAAUAAAGGUUUCUUGCUUAGAUAAAGACAAUUACGAGUAUUAUUUUGGACAUGGCAAGUGUGCCAUAUGGUACAAUAAUGCUUAUGUUGGUGUUGCCUUACUUCACAACGAGCUUUACUUGUUAUCACUUCGUGAAAAAGUGCAUUACGUGUGUAAUAUGAAUGAGCAAAAUUCCUCGUCGAACAAAGAACAAAAGAAAAGAAAGAGAACUCACGACUCAUCGAAGUUAUGGCACUGUCGUUGGGGCCAUAUUUCGAAAGGGGGGAUAGAAAGACUAAUUAAAAGCGAGAUACUUCCUCCACUUGAGUUCUUAGAUUUAAAACAAUGCAUUCAUUGCGUUAAAGGAAAGUAUGUAAAACAAAUUAAAAAGGGUGCAAACCGAAGCACUGGAACACUAGAAAUCAUCCACACUGACAUUUGAGGACCAUUUCCUGUGGAAAGCGUGGAUGCCUAUGACUCGUUCAUAACAUUCACAGAUGACUACUCCCGUUUCGGUUUUUAUUUAUCCAAUCAAAGAAAGAAAUGAAGCAUUGGGUAAAUUCAAAUUUUUCAGAGCUGAAGUUGAAAAUCAGCUUGACAAAAGAAUAAAGGUAGUGAGAUCUGACCGUGGGGGGAGUACUACGGUCGACAAACUCCAUAUGGCCAAGUCCUUGGACCUUUUGCAAAGUUCUUGCAGGCGACUGGCAUAGUAGCCUAGUAUUCAAUGUCGGGCGAGCCUCAGCAAAAUGGAGUAGCUGAAAGGCGUAACCGUACCCUUAUGGAUAUGGUGCGCAUCAUGAUCAGUUACUCCAACCUGCCAUUGGGAUUAUGGAUGGAGGCGCUUAAAACCGUCAUUCACAUUCUCAAUAGAGGACCAAGCAAGUCGGUGCCCAAAACACCGUACGAGUCGUGGACAGGAAAGGUACCAUCCUUGCAACACUUCAAAGUGUGGGGAUGCCCAGGUGAGGCCAAGAUGUUUAAUCCAAAUAUUGCAAAAUUAGAUCCCAAAACAGUGAGUUGCUACUUCAUUGUCUAUCCUGAUAGAUCAAAAGGUUUUCGUUUCUACUCUCCAGAAAAAUACACAAAGUUUGUAGAAACGAUACAUGCGGUAUUCUUAGAGGACGAAAUGAUGAGGGGGGGUCUGGUAGCUCGGAAAAUUGACCUUGAGGAGAAGAGGGUGCAUGCACCUAAUCCGAUGAUUCAAGAGCCAUUUUUCACACUACCUGUUGUAACUCCAACCAUGACAACUAUGGGAGAAGAUCCGGAACAUGUCCUUCAGGAUCCGACUGAACCUGUUGUUAAGCAUGAAAGGGAGGUACAACAGCCAAUUUUAGAGGAUGUGCCAGAGAACGAGGCACUUAGAAGGUCUAACAGAACAAGAAGGUCAACUAUUUCUGCUGAUUAUAAAGUUUGUAACACAUAAUUGGUUCAUAUGGAAGGUGGUCCCACUUCAUAUGAAGAAGCGAUGAGAAUCCCUCACUCAUCGAAGUGACUGGAGGCAAUGGAAGAUGAGAUGAAAUCGAUGAGUUCCAACGAUGUUUGGGACUUAGAAACUAUUACUAAAGGUGCCAAAACAGUAGAUUGUAAAUGGGUCUACAAAACAAAGUAGGACUCUAAUGGGAAUAUAGAAAAGUAUAAAGCACGACUCGUCGCAAAAAGAUUUACACAAAGAGAAGGGAUAGAGUACAAUGAGACUUUUUCCCUAGUCUCAUGUAAGGAUUCCUUCAAAAUCAUAAUGGCAUUAGUUGCACAUUUUGAUUUAGAGUUGCAUCAAAUGGAUGUAAAGACGACAUUUCUAAACGGAGAUUUAGAAGAAAAUGUCUACAUGAAAAAAUUCAAGGGUUUUAUCAUGGAAGGCAAGGAAGAUAUGGGAUGCCGCCUAAAGAAAUCCAUUUAUGGACUAAGGCAAGCCUCUAGACAGUGGUAUCUAAAGUUCAGCGAUACUAUUAAAAGAUUUGGAUUUAAAGAAAAUGUUGAGGAUAAUUGCGUUUAUGCAGAGUUCAAAAAUGGGAAAUAUAUUUUCUUAAUCUUGUAUGUGGAUGACAUCUUGCUUGGAACCAAUGGUGUUAGUCUACUACAAGAAACAAAGAAGUUUUUAUCCUCAAAUUUUGAUAUGAGAGACCUUGGUGAUGCUUCAUAUGUUUUGGGCAUUGAAAUUCACCGAGAUAGGAAAAAUAGAGUCUUAGGACUACCGCAGAAAGCAUAUUUAGAGAAGGUUCUCAAAAGUACAAUAUGCAUGCGAGCAAGGCCACACCUGCUUUUAUAGUCAAGGGCGACAGUUUUGGGAAAUUCCAAUGUCCCAAGAACCAGUACGAGCUCGAUGAGAUGAAAGCAGUAUCAUAUACUUCGGCUAUUGGAAGUUUACAGUAUGCACAACUGUGCACCCCCUGACUUAGCUUUUAUCACCGGGGUACUCGGUAGAUAUCAAGAGAAUCCAGACCUAGAGCAUUGGAAGAUGAUAAACAAAGCAUUACACUAUGUGCGAAGGCACAAACGAUAUCAUGCUAACAUACAAAAGAUUUGAUUCCCUAGAGAUAAAAGGGUAUUCAGACGCAGAUUUUGCGGGAGAUAGAAAUGAUAGAAAAUCCACGUCAGGAUACGUGUUCACUUUUGCUGAAGGGGCUAUUUCGUGGAAAAGCUCCAAACAAACCGUAGUUGCAUCGUCCACGAUGUAAGCAUAGUUUAUAGCAUGUUUUCAAGCCACUGGGAGGUGAUAUGGUUAAAGAAAUUUAUACCUGACUUGAAAGUGGUAGAUUGUAUUUACAAGCCACUAAAGAUGUACUGCGACAACCAACCCGCAUUAUUAUGCUCACAACAACAAGUUGAGUAAUGCUACCAAGACAAUAGAUAUAAAGUAUUAUGUUAUGAAAGACAAAAUACAGGAUCACACUAUAAGUCUCGAGCAUAUAAGGACAACGGAUAUGCUCGCAGAUCCGCUAACGAAAGGCUUACCACCCAAUGUGUUCAAAGAACACUUAGCCGGCAUGGGGUUAAUGGAAAGCCUAUGAUUCCUGGAUCAUAAGAGGCCCCAAAAGGAACAUAAUUUGUUUCUAAACAAAAGUAUGUUGUAGCUGUAUGAUUCUAUCGACAAUUAUGCUGUGACGAUGAGACAUGCUCUAUGUGUCAAUAUAUGAUGGAACAAAUAAACUAGAAAGUAUAAGGUUAAAGUAAAAGUUGAGAUCAAGAGGAAGAAUUAAUGUUAGGUUGAUCUCUUAGCAUGGGCCCAACGGCCCACCGUACCCUUGAUCCAUAUGCGCCCUGACCGGGGGCGCCCAACCCAUUAUGGUUGGUGGCCCCUGUGACCCGCACUAUCACUACAAGAGAACAGAGCUUUGGUAACACAUAGUAAAAUAUGUUACAAUCGAAAAUCCAGUAACACAUGAUUUGUGUUGCAAAGUCAGACUGUAACACAUACAAUAUAAGCUCAAAAAUGUGUUACGACAAUAUCGUCUAAGUAACACGUAAUUAUGUGUUGCACGUAAUGUGUUACACAGAUGUUGCUACAGUAACAUAUUAAUAUAUGUUAGUGGGAGUGUGUUACAAUAAGAUUGUAGAGAAAGUAACACAUAAUCAUGUGUUGAUCCAUGGUUUGGUUUUGAUAAAUAUCGAACUAUUUCGAGAUGGUUUUUGUAAAUACCAUAUUAGCCAAAUAAGGCGCUAAUUUUAGGAUGACUCAACGACCAUACAUGCACACCUUAAAUUGAUCAUAUAGAAUUAAGUAAUUGACGUCAAUGCAUGUACUCAUGAAGAUUAUAGUAUUUCAACUAAAAGCAUCAAUGAAGCACUAAAAGCGACUCAAAUGGGGCGACCCAUUUCGUCCGUCGCUGUCCGUUUGGGUCGGCACGGAUAAAAAACUUUGCCCAACUAGGCGACCCAAACGGACAACAAGUCCGUCUGGUGUCCAUUCCCGACCCAGACUGAACCAAAAUAUGGGUCACAAAUGGGUCUGCAGCGGAUAAAAGCGGGCGCUCCCGUCGUCUCCUCCCGUCCGCUCGUGUCCGCCCUGGUCCCACCCAUUAGUGACUGGGCACUCGUCCUCCUCACCACCGCCGCCCCGCCGACCCUGUAGGUGGAGCCGGGUCUGGGGACGAGGGAGGUAGCGAUGGCCUCAGUCUCGGUCUCCGGGUCGGAGACGGUAAUGUAGGAGUACUCGAACGUGGCGGCGCGUGCGGAUCUCGGGGAGGCAGAGGCGAAGCGCAGGGAGGAGGCGACGACCCCGACAAAGGACGAAGGGUCGACGAAGGAGGAGGAGGCACGGGACCGGGGGAAGGCGGCGGGGGUGGGAGGGGAGGUGGCGAGGAGGAGGAGAGGGGGUGCUCGAAGGUGGAGGCCAUGUACUACUAUUUCGGAAGAAAAACAAGUGGAGGGAUUUUUUAAUGAUUCCCGCUAAUCUUUACUUUACCCUCCAAUACAAAAAGUAGACCCUUCUGAUUAAACAACGGUAAAUAAUUCCCCGUGAUUAUCUCAUCUGCACAAACAAGAAAAAAGAAAUACUCAUCUACCCACCACCGCGCCGCCGCCCCACUGCUGCGCCGGCCCCUACCACCAAGCCGCCACCGGCGUACACCGACCACCGCGCCGCCGCCCCCAACCGCGUCGCCCCACCACUACGCCCCCGCACCAAGCCGCCACCAGCGUACUCCGUCCACCGUGCCGUCGCCCCCGACCGCGUCGCCCCACCACCAAGACGCCACAGGCGUACUCCGACGACCGCGUCGCCCCACCACUACGCCGGGCACCACCACCAAGCCGGCACCGGCGUACUCCAACCAACGUGCCGCCCUCCACCUCCUGUUGCCUCUCGAUUCUCCUACCGCUCGUCGUUGCUCCAGGAUGCCGUGCCCCAUCGCCAGAUCCUGCGCUGCUCGCCGCCUCCCGCCAACCAGCAGCUCCCGGCAUUGCCUCUACCCUGGUGGGAUCUCGCCAUCGGCCAUGCCCUAGAUCCUGUUUCCCUGAUGAUAGAUUUAUGCCCCCUACAUGCCUCCCCUCACCAUUAGCCAAAAUCUAGAUGUAUAUUUGAUCCUUUGCCGGUCCUUGUUCCCAUUGUGAGGUUUGAUUUUGUUGUCCGAUUUUUCAGAAUUUGAUUUGGUUCGUUGAUCUCAUUCCCUAGGUUUGCAUUUGCCACCUUAAUUUCUUUUCACACAGUUUAAUAAGACCUUCACAUGAGUUAAUUUUUCAGGAGGAGGCUAGCAUCCAGCAGCAUAUGGUGCCGCAAAAUCAACGUGUAGGUCAUCCAGCUAAUCAGAUAUGUGUGCUACAGUAUCCUUGGUCGUUCUUAUUUUCAUCCUCUGUUGCGAACCUGCGCUUGUUAAUCUCUUGAUUUUGUUAUUAAGUUGUGAUAGAAUUUUUUGAAGCAUUAAUAAUUGUGAUAAAUUAGUGUACAGUUUACCGAUCCAAUCAAGAUGACUGAGAAAUCCAAUGUCGUUGUUCUAAAUAAAAUCGACCUGGAAUGCAUUUCCUUGGAUUUUGAGUCCUCCAAUGGAACUCCGUCGGGGUCUCAUCUGAAGGGAGGCAGGCCCUCGUUAAACGAAUCCACCUUUCCUGAAGCCUUUAUUUUUAAGUUUAUAUCUAGAUUGUAUUUGUAAUCAAGGGAUAACCUGUCUGUAGAGCUCUGGAAAUCUGUGAUGAAGUUGUUUGCUUAAGUGGACAACUCCAUUGCGGUCUUUUUCAGUGAGAAAUUGUUAUUUGCUAGGAGACUUGAUUAAAAAUUAGUUAAUAUAUGAUAGACCUAAAUACAUUCUUAGUCUAUAGUUAAUUAGUAUAACCAUCACACCGUCUGACUUGCUCAUAAAUAUAUUGCUUUAUUUUACUUUUGAUCCAUCCAUUAGUCCUAUGCUUCUCCACUAGUGCACUCACUUUUUAGGACUGCGUUUUGCCUAUCAUUCUAAUAAUUCCUCUGCUUACUGCAUCAGACAUCAUUCUAUAUUUAUCUGAAUCGUCUUACACCAAAGGUGUCUUGUGACUAUCUAUCUUAAUUUGUACUAUGUCUAUAUGGCUAUAUAUGGCGUCUAUGCCAGAUUUGACUUUUGUGGUCUCGGUGAUCCAAAACUCUUAGUUGAUUCAACCACUUUUGAUAUAUUUACAGGGUUGGAAAUUUUAAUGUAAGUAAGCAUAUUUUUUAGUAAGUGACUACAAGUAUGUGUAAUCAAUUUUCUAUCAGUUUUUUUGUACUUGCAUCACCUAUCAAGAGGGGCCAAAAGAUAUCUAUGUUCACCAAUAGUCCAUGGUCCUAGGGUGUUGUGAAGAAAUCAUUUACGAAGAAGAGUAGAAAAGCUUAUGCAACUUAUUUUUAGUAUGUAGCUUGUCUUUUAUCAUUAUAUAUUUGCAGAUGAGUUUUUCACAGCACGGUGCACAAGAUUGAUGAUUGAGUACUCAUGAUGGUUAUGAGCAUUUCCUAUACAAGGUAUAUUGCAGGUCAAACCUGUAGCUGUUAUUACUGAACUCUACUUGUGAUACUCAUCGUCGAUUUCACUUAUAUGCACAUACUUCUAGAUACUUGAAUUAAUUUUAGACUGCAUGUUAUUACCUUACUACUUGUUGUAGGAUAAAUAAUAAGGAGGAGGGCAUCAAGGUUAUAAUACGACCAUACUGUAUGACUCACGUCCCCAGCAGCAUGGGUAUGUCUUUUAUCUGCAGUUCUCCAAAAGUGCUAUUGUGAGCUCGAGCUCAUAUGCUCUCGGAUGAACAGUAAAAUCCGAAAAAAUAGUAAAACAACUAAAAAAAUCUAAAAUUUUGUGACAAGAAACAUUGAUGUUUUUCCUACAUGCAUGCAAAAAUUCAUAACGGAAUCACAUUCCUGGAGGCUUAGACAAAAAAAACAAAUUGAUUUUCCAAAAUGCUUCCAAAAACACUAUUUUUGAAUCAUUGAUUUUGUUUUUUUCCCAUGCCUCCACAAAUGUGAUUUCACCAUGAAAUUUUGCACACAUAUAGAAAAAACAUCAAUGUUUCAUGCCCACAAAUUUCAGAUUUUUUUUGAUUUUUUACUAUAUUUACUGAUUUUAUUGUUCAUGCGGGAGUAUAUGAGCUACUAUUUCCAAUGGUAAAAGUUAUGUUUUUCCAUUUCUUGAUUUACUUAUACAAUAUUUCGGUUGCAACGGUGAAGGUGGUUGUUUCUUUCCUUUGUUCUUUUCAGAACAUAAAGAUGAAGUAAUGGCAGAACUCCUCCGGUUGGAUCCUAUCCUCAUGCUCAUGAUGAAUUCAAGAAGCAUUUAGUCCAUUGAAGAUAGAAGCAACAAGUAUAGUUUAUGUCGAUGGAUGUAAAAAUGUAAUAUUUUCCAAAUUAGUGUUUCUUAACCAUUUGAAAUGUUAGGAAUACUACUCAAUGAUUUGAAGAUAUUUACAUUAAUUUUAAUGCAAUGUAAUUACGCUAUGAUCGGUACAAUCCUAAACUUUUGCAUAUUUGUAAUAAAUAUCUUGAAAUUUUCAAUUUGUGUAUGUGUUGUGCUUCAGUUUCUCUAUCAUUUUAAUAAUGACAAGAAUCAUAAUUAAACAAUUAAUUAUUUGAGCAAGUGUGGUAAUUUUAUUGAAUAAUUUUUUAUUCAAUAAAAUAUGUACCCAAUUUUGUGCUUAAUAAAAAUUAAAUAUAUUAAUUAUGUUGUGAUGCUAAUAUACUAGUGUUACUGAUGGAGUUACUAGAGUUACAAACUGUGUUACUAGGGCAUUGACAACUAUACCUUAUAGUGUUACAAUAUUUGGAUAUUAUGUUACUAGUUUAGUUUCGAAGCUAAAAAAUGUGUUACGAAUUGUGUUACUGUAGUUACAAAAAUAUGUUACCAUCAAUAUUCUAGGUCUAGAUAGGUAUGUUACUAUAGGUGUUACUGUAGCUACAAUAAAAUGUUACCGUACUGUUGACUAACACAUAAUAUGCAUGUUACUACAACAUAACAAUAACACAAUAUUUAAAAUGUGGUAACAAUUAUUAUGUGUGACAGUGCAUACCUGUUAGUAACACGGUCUAAUGGAACAUAUUUCAAAAUGUGUUACUACAUGCCGUAGUAACACAUUUUUGGGCAUGUAGUAACAUAACACGGUGUUACUAAAGCUCUGUCCUGUUGUAGUGUAUAUUAACAGAGGUGGGGGCCGGGGCACGGGAUACGAAGUUCGCCGCAACCACUUUUUCCACCUAUACGCCCUACCGAUCUAGGGUAAACGCGGUGCUCACGGAAAGCUCCACCGCCGCCACAUCCUUCUCUGUCAUCAUUGCCGUCACCACCUCACCGAUGAAGGCCGGCGGGACUUCCUCGAGUGCAGGACAAGGUAAAACCCUUUACUCCUAGCGGACUCAUCUAGCCUAGCAGAUCUAAGGAUCUAACAGUUCAUUGUUACAAGAUUAUUCAUCUACUGUAUACAUUGCGUAUAUCAACUUGAUGCAAGGAAGAAGAACUUAGAAACGAAUGAAUGCACAUGCAUGGAAAUUUGCACAUGACAUAGCUUAUUUUCUUGGUCAGACAAGGUGUCCAGUUCGAUCUCGACAUCUGGUGCACGUAGACGAAGCACACGUACAUGUAGCACGCACGCCAGUCUAACAGACCUUUCACUGCGGCGUAUGAGAAACGGUGGAAGUAUAUAUACAAAGAAAUGUUGACGGAUCCCCUAAAAAAAAUGUUGACGGACACAUGUUGGCGACUCAACCGCUAAACGUCUCACACGUGCAGCUUCAAUUGAUUUGUCAAGAGCUAGUGUUUGUUCAAAGCAUUCGCUGUCGAGCCGUGCUUCUCUGCCACCCGGAGCAUGGCACCAGAUUCCAGCGUGACCGAACAGAGAGAGAGAGGACAAAAUAUUGUAGUAACACGACUCACAUUCCACAGUGCUCUAUACCAACCAAUUAACGAUCCACACAUCUAGACUUGACCAUGCCUGCUCCGGCGAUAAACGAGACUAUUUUGAUUUGAUUGUUUGUUCGAAGUCUUCAUUCAAUCGUUCCCGGACAGCCAAUAGCGAAGCUCGUGUUUCUAGACUCUUAACACGAUCGUUGGUGUAUGUCACUGCGUCAUUUGCGGCCGGUUCACCGAUGGCGACCUGUACGCUUUGGACAAGACCGAAACGGACGUGGAAUUUGCCCUAUCCCAUCAGGCGCACGCACAGCGGCGCACUUGGCAACCGGUCCGGUAGGAUGCGCGCUCUACGGUGUCUUUGUGUCUCGAGAAUCAACUAAAGAGCAUCUACAGCCGGGUCUUGCAAAUUCACUCCCUUAAACGAAUACUGACCGGUCACAUAUAUCAAAUAAUGCAUUUUACAUCCGGAUACCUUAAAUUAAAACCUCAAAUCCAUACUAUUAUAUGCAACGUAAACCUAAUACAACGGAGCUCGCCCGGCUCCGUCGUAAUCAUGUCCGGCGGCUAGCUGCGCCCUUCAUAGUGUCGGUCCGGCUGCGGGCGAGGUAAAGUAGGACAUGUGACAGUAACCGGCUCGUUGGAGUCGAGCUCCCGCCGCCUCCCAUGCCCUACUCUUCCUCGUCGGAUCCCGUAACCCUGAUGGUUGCAGUCGACAUGAGGUUGAUGACGGAUCCUUCCUGGGAGGAGUCGAAGCCCACCACGACGCGGAUGUGUCGCCUGCACUGGUGCACCCUACGGGGCGUCGGAGAGUGUGACUCCACCUCUCCAACAUCCACCAUCACGAGGGCCUCUGCCGCAUCCCGUGCCCGUUGCCUCGCCCGGCAGGCACGCCGCGUCAUGACAUCAUCCGAGGACGGCCAUGCUUCAUGCUCGGCGCAUCAACGGAGGGGUUGCGCUUCCGCCACGGCGAUCGGACGUCACACGGACCGCACCAUAUCCCGCGAGGCAGCAACGCCAGGUCCAAGCAUCGGUUGUGCGGAUGCAAUGAAUUCCUGGCGUUGCGAGUCCGAGAGCUGCCGUCGUGCGGCCACCUCCGGGGAGGGGAGGAGCGCGAGUCGGACAUCCAUCUCCUCCUCGAGGCCACGUGGAACGAGCUCGUGGUCGAUGGAUCUGGAGGUGAAGGACUCUGAUCCGCUGCCCGCCAUGCCGGAGGUGAGCUUCGGUGGCGGAUGGGAGUGGAGUGAAAUGGCUAGGGUUUGAUCCUGCAAGCGGAUGGGGACAAAUAUAUGUGGGGUAGAUGCGGGCCAGUGUGGGCCAAACAGACGUGCCCGGGCACGCCCGGGCUCCCCAUAUCCACCCCACAUUUGGGCUGGAAAUGAAGGGUGCCGGUCAACGUGGGCGUAUGUGUAUGAUCGAAAGUAUAUCUAGAGCGGGGGNNNNNNNNNNNNNNNNNNNNNNNNNNNNNNNNNNNNNNNNNNNNNNNNNNNNNNNNNNNNNNNNNNNNNNNNNNNNNNNNNNNNNNNNNNNNNNNNNNNNNNNNNNNNNNNNNNNNNNNNNNNNNNNNNNNNNNNNNNNNNNNNNNNNNNNNNNNNNNNNNNNNNNNNNNNNNNNNNNNNNNNNNNNNNNNNNNNNNNNNNNNNNNNNNNNNNNNNNNNNNNNNNNNNNNNNNNNNNNNNNNNNNNNUACACCCUACACAUGCACAUUUAAGAGUAUAGGAGCGGAAAGUAAAACAUGCAAGUAUAAAGUAGAGGGUAAGGUAGGGAGAUCAAACGCAAAGGUUGACACGACGAUUUUUGGCAUGGUUCCGAUAGGUGAUGCUAUCGUACGUCCAUGUUANAAGCAACUUGGGGAGGCCAGAAAUCAAGGUUCAAAUGGUUGGAAUGGAAUCUAUUGAUCUCAACACAUGAGUGGGUGCCUCUUUCUUAGAAAAAUGGAUCUGGCAAGUGUAACUGUGUUCUGAGUGCUUCCUCUACAAAUUAGAGGCGAUGGAGGGGUAUAUAUAGGCAUCCCCCAAAAUCCAACCGUUACAACAUUGUUGCCCAACUCGGUGACACCAAAAAGAAUCUCAGUGGUACCGAGUUGCACUACAUGUCCCAACUUUUGAAUUCUUGAUGAGACCGAUAUAUGAAUCUCGAUGGUACCGAUACGAUGACCUAGACCAGUUUCCAAAUCUCGGUGAGACCGUUUUUGAACUCGGAAAUUCUGAUUCUUGAAAUCUUCUCAAUAGAAAGUUGGUCACUGAAUCUCGGUGGCACCGAUAGGAAUGUUGGUGGUACCGAGAUGGUAGGGUUUGGCAUAGGAUCUGUCAAGUGUAAAAUCGAUAGGGCCGAGUGGAAAUUGUUGUUGGCACCGAUUUUGCUGGUUUGGCUUUGGACAGAGAUAUUUUGUGGGAGAAUAACUAAGUAUUUUUUGGUGGCUACCUCUAAGCACUUGAGCAACCAAUUCAUCAUAAUACCUCAUCCCCUUUUAAUAGUAUUUUGUGCGAGCAACCAUUUCAUCAUAAUGCCUCCCCAAGUUGCUUNNNNNNNNNNNNNNNNNNNNNNNNNNNNNNNNNNNNNNNNNNNNNNNNNNNNNNNNNNNNNNNNNNNNNNNNNNNNNNNNNNNNNNNNNNNNNNNNNNNNNNNNNNNNNNNNNNNNNNNNNNNNNNNNNNNNNNNNNNNNNNNNNNNNNNNNNNNNNNNNNNNNNNNNNNNNNNNNUGAGAGAGUGAUUGAGUGCUGAGGAGACUAUGUUUUGAAGCACAAGAGCAAGGAUUUCAUCAUCCAUACCACAUCUAUUACCUUUUGGGGAGUGGUGUCUCCUAGGUUUGUUAGGUGUCACUUGGGAGCCUCCAAAUCGUGUGGAGUUGAACAAAGAAGUUUGUAAGGGCAAGGAGAUCAUCUACUUCGUGAAGAUUCACCCUGAGUGAGGCUAGUCCUUCGUGGUCGUAAGCCAUCGUGGAAUAUACAAGGUUUGUUCUACAUGGACCCUUCGUGGGUGACCUCCAUGGACUCGUGUAGCCAUUAUCCUCCAUGGGUUGAUGUCUCCAUCAACGUGGACGUACAAUAGCACCACCUAUCGAAACCACGCCAAAAAUCUCCAUGUCAUCUUUCCGUUUGAUCUUCCUAUUUCUACUCCUUACUUACAUGUGCAUGUCUUUACUUUCCACUGCUAUAUAUACUUGUUGACUUGCAUGUGUAGGGUGUACUAGACUUUUCAGAAUUGCAAAGACUUGUCAACCAAUAAAACUGGGAAAAGGUUAGGUUUUUAUUUUUCCAAGUAGUCCAUUUGCCCGCCCUUUAGACGUCCCUUCUCAAUCCAACAAUUGGUAUCAGAGCUUGGGUAUCCAUAGCUUUGGUUUCAUCUCCUUUGGAGGAAGAUGGAUGUGCGUAUUUUGGGGAAUCAUAGUUGUAGAGUGCAUAUUCUCAUUGAGGAGUACUAUAGUCAAUGUAAAAACAAAAUGCUUGAUCUAUUUGAUGAAUUGCAUUUGAGCAAGUAUGUUGAUAGUCCCUAUGUGCCUCCCAUUGACCCCUUACAUCGUUCACACGAGGAUGAAAUUUAUAUGCUUCAUAACCUUAGAACCAUCAAUCUUAUCAUUAGAGGACUGCGAAAGGAUCAUGUGUGAUCAAAUGAAUAACUUUGAGUGUGAUUAUACUUUGUGGAAAGAUUUGGAGAAAAGACAUCCAAAUUACCCUUUGAAUUUAUUUGAUGUCAUUCUCCAUAAAACUAUUGCUUUCCACCAAUUGAAGCCUAGGGAUUCUAACUUCGAUAAAUACUUGUUUGAGCUUCGUGAUCUCAAGUGCGUUAAACGAGAUGUCAUAACCAUCAAUAACAUUAUUGUUGAAGCUAUUCGUAUUCAUAAUCUUGAACAUUGCCAUGAUCAAAAUUGUAACGACUCUCUUGAUUUUUGUGAUGAGUAUAUUUCAUUUGAUGAUGAUAAUGUGGAACAUGGCUACUAUGAUGAAGAUGAGAAAUUUUACAUUGCAUGUGAGAAGCCUAUGAAGAAUCUAAGUCUUAUGGCAAACUUCAAAGAAUACAUGUCUGGAGGAAAAGAGUGGAUUCUUGAUAGUGGACGCACCGAUCACAUGACCGGAUAUAGAGACAUAUUUUACGAUAUCACACCAAACAAUGGACCAUGCAGGUAUAUGACCUUCGGAGACAACUCCAAGGGUAAGGUACUUGGUCUUGGUAACGUGUCCAUAUCUCAUGAUAUUUCUAUUCAAAAUAUCAUGCUUGUUGAAUCCCUUGUCUACAAUCUUCUUUCCGUAUCUAGACUAGCCGAUUUUAGUUUCAAUGUGAUAUUCAUUAAAUUAGAUUGCCAAGUGUUUCGUCAAGACAAUCAUAAGAUGGUUUACCGGUUUCUGUAGAGGUGAUAUAUACAUUAUCAAUUUCACUAAGAGUGUCCAACCUUGUACUUGUCUUAUUACAAAAUAUUCUAAAGGUUGGCUAUGGCACAGAAGGCUAGGACAUGUUGGUAUGCAUAAUCUAGACAAGCUUAUCAAAGCUGAUCGUAUACUUGGUGUUAAAUAGGUUAUCUUUGAAAAAUAUAGACUCUGUAGUGCUUAUCAAGCAGGAAAACAACUGGGUGGAAGUCACUCGGUAAAGAACAUCAUGACUACUAGGACACCACUCGUGUUGCUUCACAUGGAUCUCUUUGGUCCCAAUGCUUACAAGAGCCUUAGUGGAAAUUCCUUUGGUCUAGUUAUAGUUGAUAAUUUUUCCAGAUUUAUGUGGGUAUUCUUUCUUGAUGACAAGUUGCAGAUACAAAAGAUCUUCAUGAACUUCGUUCACAAAUGUUGGGGAACGUAGUAAUUUCAAAAAAAUUCCUACGUCAUGCAAGGAUCUAUCUAUGGAGAAACCAGCAAUGAGAAAAGGGGUACACCAUCUCCAUAACUUUGAAGAUCGCUAAGCGGAAGCCUUGCUAGAACAUGGUUGAUGGAGUCGCACUCGCAGCGGUUCGGAUCACGGUGGAUUCCGAUCUAUGCACUGAACGUCGGCGCCUCCGCGUUCAACACACGUGCAGCCCGGUGAAGUCUCCAACACCUUGAUCCAGCAAGGAGGGAGGAGAGGUUGAGGCAGAGCUCCGACAGCACGACGACAUGGUGACGAUGGAGCUAUGUGGUACUCCGACAGGGCUUCGCUAGGCACUAUGGAGGAGGAGGAGGAGGAAGGGGUGUAGGGCUGCGCUGAGAGAGAGGCAAUUAUUGUCUCAAAUCUGCCCAAAACCACCACUAUAUAUAGGAGGAGAGGGAGGAGGUUCCCACCCUAAAGGGUGCAGAAGCCCUAGAGUCCAAGGAGGGCGGCGGUCAAGGGUGGAGGGCCCUAGGGUGGGCCUUUGAGGCCCAAGGUGGCCUCCCAUGCCUAGGGUUUCCCCUCUCUCCACCCCUUGUGUGCCUUCGGCUGGUUGUGGAGGCGCACCAGCCCAUAUAUGGGCUGGUUCCCACCCACACUUAGCCCAUGUAGCAACUUGGGGCUCGUGGCCAUUUCCGGUGGACCCCCGGAACCCUUCCGGUGGUCCCUGUACAUUGUAGGUGUUGCGCGAAACAUUUUAUGUGACCAAAUCCUCACUUCGUAUAUCAAUCUUUACCUCUGGACCAUUCCGGAACUCCUCGUGGCGUUUGGGAUCUCAUUCGGGACUCCAAACAACCUUCGGUAACCACAUACACUAUUUCCCUAUAACCCUAGCGUCAUCGAACCUUAAGUGUGUAGACCCUACAGGUUUGGGACACAUGCAGACAUGACUGAGACACCUCUCCGAUCAAUAACCAACAACGGGGUUUGGAUAUCCAUGUUGGUUCCCACAUGUUCCACGAUGAUCUCAUCGGAUGAACCACGAUGUCGGGGAUUCAAUCAAUCCCGUAUGCAAUUCCCUUUGUCUACGGGUAUGAUACUCUCCCGAGAUUCGAUCGUCGAUAUCCCUAUACCUUGUUCGAUCUCAUUUCCGGCAAGUCUCUUUACUCGUUCCGUAACACAUCAUCCCAUGACUAACUCCUUAGUCACACUGAGCUCAAUAUGAUGAUGGAUUACCGAGUGGGCCCACAGAUACCUCUCCGUCACGCGGAGACAAACCCCAGUCUCGAUUUUUACAACCCAACAGACACUUAAGGAGAUACCUUUAGUGCAUCUUUAUAGUCACCCAGUUACGUUGUGACAUUUCAUACACCCAAAGCACUCCUACGACAUCUGGGAGUUGCACAAUCUCAUGGUCUAAGGAAAUGAUACUUGACAUUAGAAAAACUUUAGCAGACGAACAACACGAUCUAGUGCUAUGCUUAGGAUUGGGUCUUGUCCAUCACAUCAUUCCCGAAUGAUGUGAUCCCGUUAUCAAUGACAUCCAAUGUCCACGAUCAGGAAACCAUGAUCAUCUAUUGAUCAGCGAGCUAGCCAACUAGAGGCUCACUAGGGACACAUUAUGAUCUAUGUACUCACACAUGUAUUACAGUAUCCAGUUAAUGCAAUUAUAACAUGAAUAAUAACAAUUAUCAUGAACCAGGAAAUAUAAUAAUAACCACUUUAUUAUUGCCUCUAGGGCAUAUUUCUAACAAUCUCCCACUUGCAGUAGAGUCAAUAAUCUAGUUACAUUGUGAUGAAUCGAACACCCAUAGAGUUCUGGUGCUGAUCAUGUUUCGCUCGUGGAAGAUGUUUAGUCAACGGGUCUGCGACAUUCAGAUCCAUGUAUACUCUACAAAUAUCUAUAUCUCCAUCCUAAAUGUAUCCACGAAUGGAUUUGAAGCGGCGCUUGAUGUGCUUGGUCAUCUUGUGAAAUCUGGGCUCCUUUGCAAUGGCAAUAGCUCCAGUGUUGUCAUAGAACAGAGUCUUCGGGCCCGACACACUUGGAAUCACUCCUAGGUCGGUGAUGAACUCCUUCAUCGAGACUCCUUCCUGUGCUGCUUCGAAAGCAGCUAUGUACUACGCUUCACAUGUGGAUGUCGCCACGAUGCUUUGCUUGCAACUGCACUAGCUAACUGCCCCAUUAUUCAAAAUGUACACGUAUCCGGUUUCUGACCUGGAGUCAUCGAGAUCUAUGUUGAAGCUAGCAUCGAUGUAACCCUUUACGACGAGCUCUUCGGCACCUCCAUAAACGAGAAACAUACCUUUAGUCCUUUUCAGGUACUUAAGGAUGUUCUUGAC
RNAcentral lists this long non-coding RNA (21022 nucleotides) under Hordeum vulgare. Its description in RNAcentral is "long non-coding RNA (HVUL_LNC018294)". Lineage: Eukaryota; Viridiplantae; Streptophyta; Magnoliopsida; Poales; Poaceae. The record is from RNAcentral.